CGCAGCCGCGGUAAUUCCAGCUCCAAUAGCGUAUAUUAAAGUUGUUGCAGUUAAAAAGCUCGUAGUUGAACUUCAGGCCUGGCUGGGCGGUCCGCCUCACGGCGUGUACUGUCUGGCUGGGUCUUACCUCUUGGUGAGCCGGCGUGGCCUUUAUUGGUUGCGUCGGGGAACCAGGACUUUUACCUUGAGAAAAUUAGAGUGUUCAAGGCAGGCCUACGCCUGAAUACAUUAGCAUGGAAUAAUAAAUAGGACGUGCGGUUCUAUUUUGUUGGUUUCUAGAGUCGCCAUAAUGAUUAAUAGGGAUAGUUGGGGGCAUUGGUAUUGAGUCGCUAGAGGUGAAAUUCUUGGAUUGACUCAAGAC
Molecule: ribosomal RNA, 361 nt
Filed under: uncultured Basidiomycota
Lineage: Eukaryota; Fungi; Basidiomycota
Description: SSU rRNA
Rfam family: Eukaryotic small subunit ribosomal RNA
Source: RNAcentral